RNAcentral lists this ribosomal RNA (478 nucleotides) under uncultured bacterium. RNAcentral's name for it is "partial 16S ribosomal RNA". It matches the Rfam family "Bacterial small subunit ribosomal RNA", at positions 28 to 507 of the family's 1533-position model. The record is from RNAcentral.
GAUGAACGCUGGCGGCGUGCUUAACACAUGCAAGUCGAACGGGAAUUAUUUUAUUGAAACUUCGGUCGAUUUAAUUUAAUUCUAGUGGCGGACGGGUGAGUAACGCGUGGGUAACCUGCCUUAUACAGGGGGAUAACAGUCAGAAAUGGCUGCUAAUACCGCAUAAGCGCACAGAGCUGCAUGGCUCAGUGUGAAAAACUCCGGUGGUAUAAGAUGGACCCGCGUUGGAUUAGCUUGUUGGCAGGGUAACGGCCUACCAAGGCGACGAUCCAUAGCCGGCCUGAGAGGGUGAACGGCCACAUUGGGACUGAGACACGGCCCAGACUCCUACGGGAGGCAGCAGUGGGGAAUAUUGCACAAUGGGGGAAACCCUGAUGCAGCGACGCUGUGUGAAGGAAGAAGUAUCUCGGUAUGUAAACUUCUAUCAGCAGGGAAGAUAGUGACGGUACCUGACUAAGAAGCCCCGGCUAACUACGUG